RNAcentral lists this ribosomal RNA (494 nucleotides) under uncultured bacterium. RNAcentral describes it as "partial 16S ribosomal RNA". It matches the Rfam family "Bacterial small subunit ribosomal RNA", at positions 28 to 507 of the family's 1533-position model. The record is from RNAcentral.
GACGAACGCUGGCGGCGUGCUUAACACAUGCAAGUCGAACGGUGAAGCGCCUUCCUUUUUGGUGGGUGUGGAUGAGUGGCGAACGGGUGAGUAACACGUGAGUAACCUGCCCCCUUCUUCUGGAUAACCGCAUGAAAGUGUGGCUAAUACGGGAUAUUCUGGGUCUGUCGCAUGAUGGGUCUGGGAAAGAUAUUGUUUCGGUGGGGAAUGGGCUCGCGGCCUAUCAGCUUGUUGGGGGGGUGAUGGCCUACCAAGGGGGUGACGGGUAGCCGGCCUGAGAGGGUGGCCGGCCAGACUGGGACUGCGGCACGGCCGAGACUGCUACGGAAGGCAGCAGUGGGGGAUAUUGAACAAUGGGCGCAAGUCUGCUGCAGCGACGCCGCGUGAGGGAUGGAGGCCUUCGGGUUGUGAACCUCUUUCGCCAGUGAAGCAGGCCUGCCUCGUUUGUGGGUGGGUUGACGGUAGCUGGAUAAGAAGCGCCGGCUAACUACGUG